Molecule: small nuclear RNA, 107 nt
Filed under: Choloepus hoffmanni (Hoffmann's two-fingered sloth)
Lineage: Eukaryota; Metazoa; Chordata; Mammalia; Pilosa; Megalonychidae
Source: RNAcentral
GUGUUCGCUUCGGCAGCACGUAUUCUAAAAAUGGAACAAUACAGAGAAGAUUAGCAUGGCCCCUGUGCAAGGAUGACACUCAAAUUCAUGAAGCAUUCCAUUAAAAA